UAGGGAAUCUUCCGCAAUGGACGCAAGCCUGACCGAGCAACGCCGCGUGAGGGAAGAAGGACUUCGGGUUGUAAACUGCUGUUGUAAGAGACGAACAGCCGACAGAUAAACCGGGAUGCGUGUGACGGUAUCGAACCAGUAAGCCACGGCUAACUACGUGCCAGCAGCCGCGGUAAUACGUAGGGGGCAAGCGUUAACCGGAUUUACUGGGCGUAAAGCGAGCGCAGGCGGUCAUUUAAGACUGUUGUGAAAGCCCCCGGCUCAACCGGGGAGGUGCCGUUGUAACUGCUUGCCUUGAGUGCAGCAGAGGGGGGUGGAAUUCCAUGUGUAGCGGUGAAAUGCGUAGAUAUAUGGGCGAACACCGGUGGCGAAGGCGACUCCCUGGUCCGUUACUGACGCUGAUGCACGAAAGCGUGGGUAGCAAACAGG
This 429-nucleotide ribosomal RNA is filed under the name Bacteroidota bacterium. RNAcentral's name for it is "Bacteroidetes bacterium partial 16S ribosomal RNA". It matches the Rfam family "Bacterial small subunit ribosomal RNA", at positions 355 to 776 of the family's 1533-position model. The record is from RNAcentral. Lineage: Bacteria; Pseudomonadati; Bacteroidota.